CAGGUAAAACAGACAGUCGCCGCCAAUUUUUUUGGGGGAGGAAAGUCCGAGCUACACAGAGCAAAAUGCCAGCUAACGGCUGGGCGUGGUAACACGACGGAAAGUGGAACAGAAAGCUAAACCGCCAAUGGCUGCCCGAAUUUCAGACAGCACAGGUAAGGGUGAAAUGGUGCGGUAAGAGCGCACCGCGCAACUGGCAACAGCUUGCGGCAGGCUAAACCCCAUUUGUAGCAAGACCAAACAGAACACAUUGACGCUGCUCGCCGAGUGUUCGGGUAGGUUGCUGAUGAGCGCAGCAGCGAUGUUGCGCCUAGAUGAAUGACUGUCCAACGACAGAACUCGGCUUAUCGUUUUGCCUGCAUU
Molecule: RNase P RNA, 363 nt
Filed under: Alysiella filiformis
Lineage: Bacteria; Pseudomonadati; Pseudomonadota; Betaproteobacteria; Neisseriales; Neisseriaceae
Also listed under: 1 other name
Description: RNase P RNA component class A
Rfam family: Bacterial RNase P class A
About the family: Ribonuclease P (RNase P) is a ubiquitous endoribonuclease, found in archaea, bacteria and eukarya as well as chloroplasts and mitochondria. Its best characterised activity is the generation of mature 5'-ends of tRNAs by cleaving the 5'-leader elements of precursor-tRNAs.
Source: RNAcentral